This is a long non-coding RNA of Perca fluviatilis (European perch), 232 nucleotides long. RefSeq lists it as uncharacterized. The record is from RefSeq and is a predicted model, not a curated record. The transcript has 3 exons. Lineage: Eukaryota; Metazoa; Chordata; Actinopteri; Perciformes; Percidae.
GCUUCACAACCUAGACUGGAGCAAGAUGUUUCAGAGUGGUGUACUUGUGGAAAUUGCUCGACAAUGUCCACUGAAGUUGAAAACAUCUGUUGCCAAGAAAUACAAAUGGUUGUUACACAAAUGCAACAGGUUCCUGUCCCACCUACCUGCAUGGUUUACCAUCCAGACCUAGAGCCAACCUGUUUGAACCACUACACCCUGCGGAACAUCUACACUAUAUACAGAGCAGACU